UACGGAGGAUGCGAGCGUUAUCCGGAUUCAUUGGGUUUAAAGGGUGCGCAGGCGGACUGAUAAGUCAGUGGUGAAAUCCCAUAGCUCAACUAUGGAACUGCCAUUGAUACUGUCAGACUAGAGUGUAUUUGACGUAGGCGGAAUGCGACAUGUAGCGGUGAAAUGCUUAGAUAUGUCGCAGAACACCGAUUGCGAAGGCAGCUUACGAAACUACAACUGACGCUCAUGCACGAAAGCGUGGGGAUCAAACAGG
This 253-nucleotide ribosomal RNA is filed under the name uncultured bacterium. Its description in RNAcentral is "partial 16S ribosomal RNA". It matches the Rfam family "Bacterial small subunit ribosomal RNA", at positions 524 to 776 of the family's 1533-position model. The record is from RNAcentral.